CUGCAGCCAAUUAACACGAGCAUCCUCCUUUCCCCACAGGGACCCAGUGUGCAAUGGCUGCAGACAGCAGCCUCCUUGGUAGUGGAAGCAACCAAUUGCUUGUAUGGGUGGCCCUAAGGGACCCUGGAGACAGCC
Small nucleolar RNA from Choloepus didactylus (southern two-toed sloth), 135 nucleotides. RefSeq annotates it as small nucleolar RNA SNORA70. The record is from RefSeq and is a predicted model, not a curated record. Lineage: Eukaryota; Metazoa; Chordata; Mammalia; Pilosa; Megalonychidae. The transcript has a single exon.